UGCCCGCCCCGGGGGCUUGAGCUGGGCCCGGGGGCGCGCACGGCUUUUGCCCCCGCGCGGCUCCCUGAUCUGUAAUGUAGACACUUGCUCGCUUGCUGUAAUAGCUCUUGUAUUUUUAAUGGGAACUGAUGGACCUGUGAAGGUAUUAGAAAUGUUUCUUUUCCCGGUUUUCGUUUUCUUUGGUAAUAAUAACGUGGGCUGAGAAGCUCGCGGUACGUUUCGGAGCCGAAGUGCUGGGUAGUCGCAGGAGUUUCCGCAAGAACUUGCUGCUUCGUACGCCAUGUCCGCGUCGGGCGGGCGGAGUGGCGCGGACAGGCGUUGGACCCCGGCGGCGCGUGGUCCCCUGGCAGGGAAGGGGCUCCAGAGCACCGCUGCGAGGAGAGAGCCCGCAGGGGAGAGCGACGGGCCGAGCGACGCUCCUCGGCCUGUUUCYGAAGCCGUAGCGUGUUUUCUUGUUUCUCUCGUCGUCCGUGGGGAAGAUGCUGGGGACGAGCGCAGGGAAGGCCGGAUGCAGGGACGUGGCGUUUGGAGGAGGAGAAGGCGCCUGCCUUUGCGGCCUGCUCUUGCAGCCGGCAGCCGCUUUGUGCCGAGCCUAGGUACAAACCGUCUCCGCUGCCUCGGGGGCACAGCGCCCAGUCUGGGAAGACCUGCCAGAUAGUAAAACUGAAACUCGGAGAGUUAGAUAUGGUCAUAUGCAGCUCGAUCAUUGAAGUGGGAAUAGCGGAUGAUUUGCCAUCAUGUUCAGCAGCAGACCAGCUCUGUCUCAGAGUGAAUCACUGGGAGGCUGAGAAGAGCCCCAGGAGCUCCUGACUCAUGGCCCCGUGUUCCUCACCACACGGUCGUAUCCCAGCUCAGAAAUCUCAUUGAUCAUUGAAAUUACAAAAGCUGUCGUAUGCGAGGAGCACAAAAACACUCACACUUGCAGAUUCUGAAGUUGGAAGUUUGCGUCAUGAGAGCCUUGGUGUUUGCUGUGCGUUGUCCCUCCCUGCUCAGACCUUCAGCACUGUUUUGCCUGGUUAUGUAUACUCAGUGCUUAGCACAGUGGAGCCUGGACUGUGCGUGGCCUUCAGAUAGAGCUGCGACUGAAGUGCUGAACAACCAGUAAUGACCCCAAAGGYAAAUUGCGCAGGCUAAAUUUAAAUGUUGUGUAGAAAUGUGUUAUACAAAGUGGCUGUCAGUGCAUGAACCCAUUUUAUUUGUAGGCUCUGUGUUUGUGUUUGUACUAAGCUUUGGCAGUUGUCUGUUCAUCUUAGUACUGUC
RNAcentral lists this long non-coding RNA (1260 nucleotides) under Dromaius novaehollandiae (emu). Its description in RNAcentral is "lncRNA (ENSDNVG00000000056.1)". Lineage: Eukaryota; Metazoa; Chordata; Aves; Casuariiformes; Dromaiidae. The record is from RNAcentral.